UAGGGAAUCUUCCGCAAUGGGCGAAAGCUUGCCGGAGCAACGCCGCGUGAGUGAUGAAGGUCUUCGGAUCGUAAAACUCUGUUAUUAGGGAAGAACAAAUGUGUAAGUAACUAUGCACGUCUUGACGGUACCUAAUCAGAAAGCCACGGCUAACUACGUGCCAGCAGCCGCGGUAAUACGUAGGUGGCAAGCGUUAUCCGGAAUUAUUGGGCGUAAAGCGCGCGUAGGCGGUUUUUUAAGUCUGAUGUGAAAGCCCACGGCUCAACCGUGGAGGGUCAUUGGAAACUGGAAAACUUGAGUGCAGAAGAGGAAAGUGGAAUUCCAUGUGUAGCGGUGAAAUGCGCAGAGAUAUGGAGGAACACCAGUGGCGAAGGCGACUUUCUGGUCUGUAACUGACGCUGAUGUGCGAAAGCGUGGGGAUCAAACAGG
This 429-nucleotide ribosomal RNA is filed under the name Actinomycetes bacterium. RNAcentral's name for it is "Actinobacteria bacterium partial 16S ribosomal RNA". It matches the Rfam family "Bacterial small subunit ribosomal RNA", at positions 355 to 776 of the family's 1533-position model. Lineage: Bacteria; Bacillati; Actinomycetota; Actinomycetes. The record is from RNAcentral.